GCCAACGACCAUAUCGGCUUGAAUACACCAGUUCUCGUCCGAUCACUGAAGUUAAGCAAGGCUGAGCGUGGUUAGUACUUGGAUGGGUGACCGCUUGGGAACACCACGUGCCGUUGGCA
Molecule: ribosomal RNA, 119 nt
Filed under: Aphidius gifuensis
Lineage: Eukaryota; Metazoa; Arthropoda; Insecta; Hymenoptera; Braconidae
Source: RNAcentral